Molecule: ribosomal RNA, 221 nt
Filed under: uncultured bacterium
Lineage: Bacteria
Description: partial 16S ribosomal RNA
Rfam family: Bacterial small subunit ribosomal RNA
Source: RNAcentral
UACGAAGGGGGCUAGCGUUGCUCGGAAUUACUGGGCGUAAAGCGCACGUAGGCGGCUUUCUAAGUCGGGGGUGAAAUCCUGGAGCUCAACUCCAGAACUGCCUUCGAUACUGGAGAGCUUGAGUCCGGGAGAGGUGAGUGGAACUGCGAGUGUAGAGGUGAAAUUCGUAGAAUAUUCGCAAGAACACCAGUGGCGAAAGGCGGCUCACUGGCCCGGGUACU